This is a long non-coding RNA of Drosophila kikkawai, 952 nucleotides long. RefSeq lists it as uncharacterized. The record is from RefSeq and is a predicted model, not a curated record. NCBI's taxonomy places the organism in Eukaryota, Metazoa, Arthropoda, Insecta, Diptera, Drosophilidae.
UACAUUUUUUUUCUUUGCUUUGAAUAAGUUCACAGGGGAUAUUAAGUCAUUUACUGAAUAUUCCACAAAUGGAAAGGUGUUAGUUUUAUUCAAACGUUGCUUUUAUAUUUCGACACACUGCUCAGAUCCAUGUUACGGGAAAUUAAAAUGAUCCAUUCCACCAGCUGCCACAAUGGAUAGUGCAUAUCUUGGAGAUAUGCGUGUAACAUGUUUACUCGCAUCAUAGUUUCUGUCAUCAUAUUGCAUACCUCUUCAUAUAAAUUUUACAAUGACACAAUGAUGAAGACAACAACCAUGAAGUACAUGAAUACCAGCAAGGAAAGUAUUACUUUAUAGUGGACAAUCUGUAUGCCGAAAUUUGUAGUAGAAAUUCUUAUAUCUAUCGUUAGCAGACUCCAUAUUCGAGGUUGUUAGCUUGUGAACGAAAUGUAAAGUAGAGGCCUUUGUGGUGAAUCUGGAGAAGAGGUUUACCACAUUCUAAAAGUCUUUAGAUGAGAGAAGGGAGAAAGUAAAGGACAUCAAUGCUGGAGGAAAUAAAGAGGACAAUCCGUAAGCUGAAAAAAUGGAAAUCCCCUGGCCCUGACACACGGUCUAACGGAUUGGGACACUUUCCCUGGCUAUGGAAAACCGCCAACAUCGUCGAGCUACACAAGCAAGGCAAGCCAACGCAUGACGUGGAUAGCUAAAGACCGAUCAGUCUCCUCUCCCACCUUCGGAAAAAUACUGGAGCGUUGCUAUGGUAUGCUAUCCGGAUCCUGUCCUGUGUUGAGGUCCAGAACGCGAUCCCGCUUCACCAAUUUGGGUUCCGAGCUGGUCACGAUAUGCUCGAGCAACUACGCUGGAUGGCUUCCAACGUAAAAAAUACACGGUGGCGGUUUUCCUAGACGUCCAACAGGCCUUCGACAAGGUGUGGAACCCAGGGUUGCUGUCCAAACUAUUUAUAUUUUUUAAA